AGUAGUGCUCUGCAGUGUUUAUUUCAUCCUGAAGAUCACUUAUUUGAGACAUAGUCCUCAAGUGGAAUUAUGAAAUCAAAGAGUGACUCCAUAAAGUGCCUCACAACACAAGAGCUGAGCAGAUAUAAUUUCUACAGUAGAAUUUAAUCAUUCUGGAGAAUUACUAGCAACAGGAGAUAAAGGUGGUAGAGUCGUCAUCUUUCAACAAGAGCAGGAGAACAAAAUCCAGUCUCAUAGCAGAGGAGAAUAUAAUGUUUACAGCACCUUCCAGAGCCAUGAACCAGAGUUUGACUACUUGAAAAGUUUAGAAAUAGAAGAAAAGAUCAACAAAAUUAGGUGGUUACCCCAGAAAAAUGCUGCUCAGUUUUUAUUGUCUACCAAUGAUAAAACAAUAAAAUUAUGGAAAAUCAGUGAAAGGGACAAAAGACCAGAAGGGUAUAACUUGAAAGAGGAAGAUGGAAGGUAUAGAGAUCCUACUACAGUUACUACACUACGAGUGCCAGUCUUUAGGCCUAUGGAUCUAAUGGUUGAGGCCAGUCCACGAAGAAUAUUUGCCAAUGCUCAUAC
RNAcentral lists this small RNA (567 nucleotides) under Pongo abelii (Sumatran orangutan). RNAcentral's name for it is "processed transcript". The record is from RNAcentral. Lineage: Eukaryota; Metazoa; Chordata; Mammalia; Primates; Hominidae.